UGGGGAAUUUUGGACAAUGGGCGAAAGCCUGAUCCAGCAAUGCCGCGUGUGUGAAGAAGGCCUUCGGGUUGUAAAGCACUUUUGUCCGGAAAGAAAUCCUUGGCUCUAAUACAGUCGGGGGAUGACGGUACCGGAAGAAUAAGCACCGGCUAACUACGUGCCAGCAGCCGCGGUAAUACGUAGGGUGCAAGCGUUAAUCGGAAUUACUGGGCGUAAAGCGUGCGCAGGCGGUUUGCUAAGACCGAUGUGAAAUCCCCGGGCUCAACCUGGGAACUGCAUUGGUGACUGGCAGGCUAGAGUAUGGCAGAGGGGGGUAGAAUUCCACGUGUAGCAGUGAAAUGCGUAGAGAUGUGGAGGAAUAUCGAUGGCGAAGGCAGCCCCCUGGGCCAAUACUGACGCUCAUGCACGAAAGCGUGGGGGAGCAAACAGGAUUAGAUACCCUGGUAGUCCACGCCCUAAACGAUGUCAACUAGUUGUUGGGGAUUCAUUUCCUUAGUAACGUAGCUAACGCGUGAAGUUGACCGCCUGGGGAGUACGGUCGCAAGAUUAAAACUUAAAGGAAUUGAC
RNAcentral lists this ribosomal RNA (567 nucleotides) under uncultured bacterium. RNAcentral's name for it is "partial 16S ribosomal RNA". It matches the Rfam family "Bacterial small subunit ribosomal RNA", at positions 355 to 914 of the family's 1533-position model. The record is from RNAcentral.